RNAcentral lists this long non-coding RNA (1573 nucleotides) under Ananas comosus (pineapple). RNAcentral describes it as "long non-coding RNA (ACOM_LNC033603)". Lineage: Eukaryota; Viridiplantae; Streptophyta; Magnoliopsida; Poales; Bromeliaceae. The record is from RNAcentral.
ACUAACAUUUUAACAUUUUGAUUGUACUAUUCAACAUUUCAAUUUGUGUGAUCUGAGUCAAUCAAAUAUUUUGACUUUAAGAUUUGAAUGAAUCGUUUACCUCUGCAGGUUUAUUUAGUAUAUUAGUUGUAGUUCUCGUAACUAUAAUUUUAUUACAAUAAGUAAUUAUAUUAAAUUUUAAAGUCAAAAUAUUUUUGACUAACUUAAAUUAAACAAAUUAAAAGAUUGAAUAAUAAAAUUAAAAUUUUGAAAAGUUAGGUACCAAUUCAAAAUGGUCUAUAAUUCAAGUAAGUUAUGUAUGUUUUUGCGUUAUAUAUAUAUCAUUUUACCGUUAACCCUCUUAAUAUUUUCUCUCUCUAACUUUGCCUAAUACUUUUUUCCCUUCACACAUAUGUACUGGUUGCAUUCGAUUUGUGCAACCUUAUUAGUAGGGAUGCAUAUGGAUCCGGGGGUGGUGGAGCUCCCGCCCUGAUCCGCCCCGAAUGGGGCAGUAAACGGGAGGAAAUAAACGGAUUUGGGGCAGGAAAUGGGGCAAUUUUUAUAAUCCGUGGCGGAUUCGGGGCAGGAAAUGGGAAAGUUUUUGAUCCGUCCCGAAUCCGUCAUGAUCCGCCCCGAAUGUAUGUCUUUAAAAUUUUUCCAUAUGUAUGUAUUUAAAAUUUUUGAAUUUUGUUGCGAGUUGUCAUUGAUAUUUUUGAUUUUUAUAGUUGAUAUUAUUAAUUAUAUAUAACUUCAUAAUAUUAUCAAUUAAUAUUAAAAAUUUUGUUGAUUUAUAUUUAUAAAAUAUUAAUAAUAUUAUAAUUUGUAAAACAAAUACUAUUUGGCGGGGCCGAUUUGGAGCCUCGGCGGGAGACGGGUUAUAAGGCGGGGCGGAUUAUGAGAUAACUAUUUUCAAUCCGUUACGGAUUCGUGGCGGGAGGCGGGACGGACUUUUUGUAGUCGGGAUGGGAGGCGGGGCGGGGCUCCCGCCCCAGAUCCGCCCCGUUUGCAUCCCUACUUAUUAGGGAAUGUGAACCACAAUUUGAUAUCACGAUCAACACUACAACAGAAUUAGAUUGUAGAGACAUAUGUUUGGAACACUUUUGUGUAAGUGUCCUAUUUAUAUCAAAACAUAAAAAAAAAAAUCUACUAAGGUUUAAAUAUAAAGCCCAAUCCAAUAAAAAAUAAAAGGUUAUUCUACUUAAUCCACCCCACCCAGUCUAUUCGGCCCGAUUACAAACAGAAAAAGGAAAAAAAAAAAAAAACCAUCUCCCCUGAUCUCCUCACUCAAUCCACUGAAACUCUAGACGAAUAGCCCUUCGCUCUCGUCCUCCUCCGCCACCGCAGCCAACAAGGUAAAGUUCCGGCGGUUGCUAAAUACUUAAAUAAGUUUUGGUAAAUUAGCAGUAUUCUUUCUAGAUUAUACCGACACUCUUAAACUGUCACUAUAUACCUAGCGACCCCACAUAUAGCAACAUUUUCUAAAAGUAUUGAUAAUUUAGUCAGCAUUAUUUUUUUUAUAUGUAUCAAUAUUUAAAAAUAUCGCUAUACAUCGUUUUUAUUGUAGUGCAAAAAGCACAAACCAACCUAAAUGCUU